CCUACGGGAGGCAGCAGUGGGGAAUAUUGCACAAUGGGGGAAACCCUGAUGCAGCGACGCCGCGUGAGUGAAGAAGUAAUUCGUUAUGUAAAGCUCUAUCAGCAGGGAAGAAAAUGACGGUACCUGAGUAAGAAGCCCCGGCUAACUACGUGCCAGCAGCCGCGGUAAUACGUAGGGGGCAAGCGUUAUCCGGAUUUAUUGGGUGUAAAGGGCGUGUAGGCGGGAGCGCAAGUCAGAUGUGAAAACUCAGGGCUCAACCCUGAGCCUGCAUUUGAAACUGUGGUUCUUGAGUGCUGGAGAGGCAA
Molecule: ribosomal RNA, 305 nt
Filed under: uncultured bacterium
Lineage: Bacteria
Description: bacterial SSU rRNA
Rfam family: Bacterial small subunit ribosomal RNA
Source: RNAcentral